This 332-nucleotide unclassified non-coding RNA is filed under the name soil metagenome. Its description in RNAcentral is "partial contains 5.8S ribosomal RNA, internal transcribed spacer 2, and large subunit ribosomal RNA". The stretch from base 1 to 120 matches the Rfam family "5.8S ribosomal RNA", at positions 35 to 154 of the family's 154-position model. The record is from RNAcentral.
GAUGAAGAACGUAGUAAAAUGCGAUAAGUAAUGUGAAUUGCAGAAUUCAGUGAAUCAUCGAAUCUUUGAACGCACAUUGCGCCCGCCAGUAUUCUGGCGGGCAUGCCUGUUCGAGCGUCAUUUCAACCCUCAAGCACAGCUUGGUGUUGGGACUCGCGUUAAUUCGCGUUCCCCAAAUUGAUUGGCGGUCACGUCGAGCUUCCAUAGCGUAGUAGUAAAACCCUCGUUACUGGAAAUCGUCGCGGCCACGCCGUUAAACCCCAACUUCUGAAUGUUGACCUCGGAUCAGGUAGGAAUACCCGCUGAACUUAAGCAUAUCAAUAAGCGGAGGA